This 116-nucleotide ribosomal RNA is filed under the name Paraclostridium sordellii. The record is from RNAcentral. RNAcentral also lists the same sequence under 1 other name. Lineage: Bacteria; Bacillati; Bacillota; Clostridia; Peptostreptococcales; Peptostreptococcaceae.
UGGUUACUAUAGCAAAGAGGAUACACCUGUUCCCAUUCCGAACACAGAAGUUAAGCUCUUUAGCGCCGAUGGUACUUGGUGGGAAGCUGCCUGGGAGAGUAGGACGUAGCCGCGUA